GCAGUCGACGGUGAGCUCCAGCUUGCUGGAGUGGAUCAGUGGCGAACGGGUGAGUAACACGUGAGCAACCUGCCCCUGACUCUGGGAUAACAGUCGGAAACGAUUGCUAAUACCGGAUAUGCACCAUGAACGCAUGUUCUGUGGUGGGAAAGAUUUUUCGGUUGGGGAUGGGCUCGCGGCCUAUCAGCUUGUUGGUGAGGUAAUGGCUCACCAAGGCGUCGACGGGUAGCCGGCCUGAGAGGGUGACCGGCCACACUGGGACUGAGACACGGCCCAGACUCCUACGGGAGGCAGCAGUGGGGAAUAUUGCACAAUGGGCGAAAGCCUGAUGCAGCAACGCCGCGUGAGGGAUGACGGCCUUCGGGUUGUAAACCUCUUUUAGCAGGGAAGAAGCGAGAGUGACGGUACCUGCAGAAAAAGCGCCGGCUAACUACGUGCCAGCAGCCGCGGUAAUACGUAGGGCGCAAGCGUUAUCCGGAAUUAUUGGGCGUAAAGAGCUCGUAGGCGGUUUGUCGCGUCUGCUGUGAAAACUGGAGGCUCAACCUCCAGCCUGCAGUGGGUACGGGCAGACUAGAGUGCGGUAGAGGAGAUUGGAAUUCCUGGUGUAGCGGUGGAAUGCGCAGAUAUCAGGAGGAACACCGAUGGCGAAGGCAGAUCUCUGGGCCGUAACUGACGCUGAGGAGCGAAAGGGUGGGGAGCAAACAGGCUUAGAUACCCUGGUAGUCCACCCCGUAAACGUUGGGAACUAGUUGUGGGGGCCUUUCCACGGUCUCCGUGACGCAGCUAACGCAUUAAGUUCCCCGCCUGGGGAGUACGGCCGCAAGGCUAAAACUCAAAGGAAUUGACGGGGACCCGCACAAGCGGCGGAGCAUGCGGAUUAAUUCGAUGCAACGCGAAGAACCUUACCAAGGCUUGACAUAUACGGGAACGGGCUAGAAAUAGUCAACUCUUUGGACACUCGUAUACAGGUGGUGCAUGGUUGUCGUCAGCUCGUGUCGUGAGAUGUUGGGUUAAGUCCCGCAACGAGCGCAACCCUCGUUCU
Molecule: ribosomal RNA, 1042 nt
Filed under: Microbacterium hydrocarbonoxydans
Lineage: Bacteria; Bacillati; Actinomycetota; Actinomycetes; Micrococcales; Microbacteriaceae
Description: bacterial SSU rRNA
Rfam family: Bacterial small subunit ribosomal RNA
Source: RNAcentral